This 594-nucleotide ribosomal RNA is filed under the name Alternaria eichhorniae. RNAcentral describes it as "eukaryotic LSU rRNA". The stretch from base 219 to 372 matches the Rfam family "5.8S ribosomal RNA". Lineage: Eukaryota; Fungi; Ascomycota; Dothideomycetes; Pleosporales; Pleosporaceae. The record is from RNAcentral.
GAAGUAAAAGUCGUAACAAGGUCUCCGUAGGUGAACCUGCGGAGGGAUCAUUACACAAAUAUGAAGGCGGGCUGGAAUCUCUCGGGGUUACAGCCUUGCUGAAUUAUUCACCCUUGUCUUUUGCGUACUUCUUGUUUCCUUGGUGGGUUCGCCCACCACUAGGACAAACAUAAACCUUUUGUAAUUGCAAUCAGCGUCAGUAACAAAUUAAUAAUUACAACUUUCAACAACGGAUCUCUUGGUUCUGGCAUCGAUGAAGAACGCAGCGAAAUGCGAUAAGUAGUGUGAAUUGCAGAAUUCAGUGAAUCAUCGAAUCUUUGAACGCACAUUGCGCCCUUUGGUAUUCCAAAGGGCAUGCCUGUUCGAGCGUCAUUUGUACCCUCAAGCUUUGCUUGGUGUUGGGCGUCUUGUCUCUAGCUUUGCUGGAGACUCGCCUUAAAGUAAUUGGCAGCCGGCCUACUGGUUUCGGAGCGCAGCACAAGUCGCACUCUCUAUCAGCAAAGGUCUAGCAUCCAUUAAGCCUUUUUUUCAACUUUUGACCUCGGAUCAGGUAGGGAUACCCGCUGAACUUAAGCAUAUCAAUAAGCGGAGGAA